This 1359-nucleotide ribosomal RNA is filed under the name uncultured bacterium. RNAcentral describes it as "bacterial SSU rRNA". It matches the Rfam family "Bacterial small subunit ribosomal RNA", at positions 28 to 1381 of the family's 1533-position model. The record is from RNAcentral.
GAUGAACGCUAGCUACAGGCUUAACACAUGCAAGUCGAGGGGCAGCAUUUCAGUUUGCUUGCAAACUGGAGAUGGCGACCGGCGCACGGGUGAGUAACACGUAUCCAACCUGCCGAUAACUCGGGGAUAGCCUUUCGAAAGAAAGAUUAAUACCCGAUGGUAUAAUCAGACCGCAUGGUCUUGUUAUUAAAGAAUUUCGGUUAUCGAUGGGGAUGCGUUCCAUUAGGCAGUUGGUGAGGUAACGGCUCACCAAACCUUCGAUGGAUAGGGGUUCUGAGAGGAAGGUCCCCCACAUUGGAACUGAGACACGGUCCAAACUCCUACGGGAGGCAGCAGUGAGGAAUAUUGGUCAAUGGGCGCAGGCCUGAACCAGCCAAGUAGCGUGAAGGAUGACUGCCCUAUGGGUUGUAAACUUCUUUUAUAUGGGAAUAAAGUUUUCCACGUGUGGAAUUUUGUAUGUACCAUAUGAAUAAGGAUCGGCUAACUCCGUGCCAGCAGCCGCGGUAAUACGGAGGAUCCGAGCGUUAUCCGGAUUUAUUGGGUUUAAAGGGAGCGUAGGUGGACAGUUAAGUCAGUUGUGAAAGUUUGCGGCUCAACCGUAAAAUUGCAGUUGAUACUGGCUGUCUUGAGCACAGUAGAGGUGGGCGGAAUUCGUGGUGUAGCGGUGAAAUGCUUAGAUAUCACGAAGAACUCCGAUUGCGAAGGCAGCUCACUGGACUGCAACUGACACUGAUGCUCGAAAGUGUGGGUAUCAAACAGGAUUAGAUACCCUGGUAGUCCACACAGUAAACGAUGAAUACUCGCUGUUUGCGAUAUACAGUAAGCGGCCAAGCGAAAGCAUUAAGUAUUCCACCUGGGGAGUACGCCGGCAACGGUGAAACUCAAAGGAAUUGACGGGGGCCCGCACAAGCGGAGGAACAUGUGGUUUAAUUCGAUGAUACGCGAGGAACCUUACCCGGGCUUAAAUUGCAUUUGAAUAUAUUGGAAACAGUAUAGCCGUAAGGCAAAUGUGAAGGUGCUGCAUGGUUGUCGUCAGCUCGUGCCGUGAGGUGUCGGCUUAAGUGCCAUAACGAGCGCAACCCUUAUCUUUAGUUACUAACAGGUCAUGCUGAGGACUCUAGAGAGACUGCCGUCGUAAGAUGUGAGGAAGGUGGGGAUGACGUCAAAUCAGCACGGCCCUUACGUCCGGGGCUACACACGUGUUACAAUGGGGGGUACAGAAGGCAGCUACCUGGUGACAGGAUGCUAAUCCCAAAAGCCUCUCUCAGUUCGGAUCGAAGUCUGCAACCCGACUUCGUGAAGCUGGAUUCGCUAGUAAUCGCGCAUCAGCCAUGGCGCGGUGAAUACGUUCCCGGGCCU